ACCACUUCUCAGCCUUUUGGCUAAGAUCGGGUGUAGUAUCUGUUCUUAUCAGUUUAAUAUCUGAUACGUGCCCUACCCCUUGUACUGUGUAAUGUGUGUUCGGGGUUAAAAUGCAUGUAAAUAAAACUGAGAAGAAUGAAAAAGAAUUUUCAUUAAUAAAGUAGAUUAAUAAAGUAUCUCUUACACGUGAGAGUGAAUUACUCAAGACGAUGUUGCUGUAUCUGUCUUGACGUGC
This 235-nucleotide small nuclear RNA is filed under the name Larimichthys crocea (large yellow croaker). RNAcentral's name for it is "U2 spliceosomal RNA (ENSLCRG00005012396.1)". The stretch from base 1 to 151 matches the Rfam family "U2 spliceosomal RNA". Rfam says of the family: U2 is a small nuclear RNA (snRNA) component of the spliceosome (involved in pre-mRNA splicing). Complementary binding between U2 snRNA (in an area lying towards the 5' end but 3' to hairpin I) and the branchpoint sequence (BPS) of the intron results the bulging out of an unpaired adenosine, on the BPS, which initiates a nucleophilic attack at the intronic 5' splice site, thus starting the first of two transesterification reactions that mediate splicing. Lineage: Eukaryota; Metazoa; Chordata; Actinopteri; Sciaenidae. The record is from RNAcentral.